AAUGUCUGGUCCAAGGACACAGACAGGUAGUGUGAGCAGGUUUCAAACCCAGGUCUACAUAUUGACAGGCCAGCUCUGUAUCCACUCAGCUACUUGUUCUAUUACCACUACAUUUACUUCAACAAUUAGU
This is a long non-coding RNA of Thalassophryne amazonica, 130 nucleotides long. RefSeq lists it as uncharacterized. The record is from RefSeq and is a predicted model, not a curated record. Lineage: Eukaryota; Metazoa; Chordata; Actinopteri; Batrachoidiformes; Batrachoididae. The transcript is spliced from 3 exons.